AAUAUCUGGAAUAUAAAAAAAAGAAUCUCAGCAUUUGUAGAACACAAUAUAAAACCAUUCGUCAGUAGAAGGACUCAGAUGUUAACACUAGUCAAAUCAUGUCCCUGGAAACAGCCAUCAUUAAAAAGUAAAAACCGCAUGGAGAACAGUCAAUUCAAAGGUAGAUGCUGCUUCUUUCAACACAGACUUACCCAAAAGAUUUACCAAAUUCAACAGAUUAGGGCAAAAUGAAAUCACCCCCCUUUAAAAUCUAAACCUGUGUACUGUUGUUUCACCAAGUAACUAUAGCAUGUUAAUGUUACAAAUGUCAUUUAUUUUAAAAUUUUGUUUUCCUUUUGUUUCCAUGUUUUGCAUUAAGUUAAACUCUCCUACUAAUUAUUUUAUAUUCUGUAUCACUUCUUGCGCUGCUUUUCAAUCUAUUUUCCACAACGCGGAUACUGGAAUCCUACAGAAGAGAUCUUGUGGUCUGAGUGCUGAUCCCAACUUGGCCAACUUGGUGUUCUCAGUGGCACCCAAACUACCAUUAUGAUGGUCUUCUGUGGUUGGUGAAUGAACUGUGAUGGACACUGGGUGCCCUAACCAACGUCCCCUUCAAAGAGGGACUUGCUGCCCAGGAGGCUGGGAAUACUGUCAACACACGGUCUUUGGCUCUCAGCCCCUUCUAAGAUUGCCUGAGUCGCAGAGAGCCACCUCGCCCGAGGUCACACCCUUCCCAGGCACCCGACACCCAAUAAGCAAUUGUGAAGGAGGAUCAAAGUCUGGUGCAUCCUGCCCCAAUGGGAGACAACACUGAAGGCCCCUCCGAUUCCCCAAUUCCUUCUGGGGCCAGUGGAGGCUGUUGAUGGGCUGCACCCCAGCUUGCCUUCUCUGCACGCUCUUGCCUCUUCCUCUUCUCUUCUGCAGGUGUUGAUCCCAAGGACAUCCUCUAAUAAACAUCCUGAAUGCUAUGGAGGCCAAAGCUGGGGUUAGCCCUCAGGGCUUGACACCACUGGUUCCCAUCAAGGAAGCAGUAAAAUUCCCUUAGGACAAAUAUGGCCAUUUCCUUCAAGGAGAGGUUUUCAAUAGCCUGACCCACACACUGACAAAUGUCAACAGAUACGGCACCAGCAGAAGAAGAGAAAAAAAUGACAGCUUCCUUCUUAGGCUAGAAGUAAACUCAGGGCACAGGGAAUCUGCAUGGCCUCCUCUCUGAGACCAGCAGAGCUUUCUGCACUGACCUUGGGAAAGGAGACAUUUGAGCCAGGCCUCCUGGGAGUAUUACAAUGGCCAGGCUGACACCGUUAAAACUGGGAAAGGCUUACAACCCCCAAUAAGAACAUUUAUUCUACAGGCUAAGUACUCUCUUCAUUUAUAAGACAAAAUAGAGUUCUAAGUGAACCAGAUUCAAGUAUCUUCUGACUCAAGUUCACCUUGUUAGUAAAAAAGGCAGCAAUGACAGUGUUUACAUGCAGUUUAACCUUUUUAAAACCAAAAUCACCAUUCUUCCAUGCUAGGCUAGAGGCUAAACCAAACAAUAUUUCACUGCUUAUAUUAGAGUCAAUGCUAACAUAAACAGCACUGUCAUUGCAAAAUUAUGUAACGGUAAAGGUGCAUAUUCUAUUCUGACAGAUAGAAAUUUCAUUAGAGUCUGUGAAAGGGUCAGGUAGAGAAACUGCCAAGGGCAGACAGAGCCUAGGGUUACCCACGUAAUAUCUCAAGGCAGCCACACUUCUACUUAACACAAACAAAAAGCAAGUAUGUCAAAGAGCCUACAGGAUUCAAAGCUUCAUUUAAGGAUAGAGGAAGCUAUAAUUGUAAUUAAGAAGAAUGUACCUUUUUCAAAGUGUCCCUAAAAGUUAGUAUCUGAGUCCUACAACACCUGCCAAAGAUCGCAUGAGGAGACAAUGUGGUAUUAAAUAUUUUUUCUCAACCCAUUAAUAUAAAUGACAGCUACCAUUCUUAUUAAGGCCACUUAGCGUACAUCAAUAUCUAAAAGGUUUAAAUGACAGCCCAUGUCAGAAAAAUUUGUUUAAACAAUAGAAUUAACAUUGGCAGAAUGGGGGAAACAUCUUUUCCAUGCUGGCUGAGUGAGAUUUGGGCCCUUUAUUGAAGAUAACAAUAACAAGAACAAUAAUGAUGAGAGUUUGCAUGUGCUGAGUGCUAGACAUAGUCAAAAUGCUUUAUGUGUACCCAAUCAUCUAAUCCUUAUAAUGCAGGUAGGACUGUGGGCCUGAUUCUAUACCUCUGGUGCCCAGGUACGCCUCUUGCAUUACACUGAGGCCUUCAGAAAACUGACAUGAAUCAAACCUGAAAUAAGAGCAAAGAGGCCCAUCAUUUAUAAAGUGAGGCUAAACCCAAGUCUCCAACUGGCAGGGGUUUUUAGGGUGGGUGUGGGGAGUUUCCACCUAGGUACAUGCCUUUGAAAGCCAGCAGGUCAGGAAAUAUGUCAUAGUGCACACCUCCCUGAGUUCACAUAGAUUAAGAUAAAAUGGGACUAGGCCAAAUUGUUACAUUUGAAAGAGCUUAAACGACUUCAAAUUCCCCUUAAUAUGUCCCCUUCUCAGUGACACACCCUUUUGCCUUCAGGUGUCUAGUGCCUUUCCCCUUUCCUAAACCACCUUGUUUCUCAGUGGCAUGGCUUCGUAACAAAUAAAAGCAAGAGUUCUAUCUAUUACCAGGCUGUGGUGGAAAGUUCCCGACAGCAAAGGCCAGAAUAAGGUGUUUGAAUAGGAUUGACUCACACUCUGAAACUCAUUCAUAUGAAUUUAUUAUUUCUCCAAGUUCUUCCCACUCUGUGUUCAUCUCCUUUUAAUUGAAUUUGAGGCAUCCCAAGUUAAGAGGGAAUUUGAGAACGGUCACUUUCUCAGUUUCUAUAAAUCAGGCUGUGUCAAAUGCCAGCCAUGAAAGCAAACCAGGUGGGGACGCUUGCUGGGGAGUGGUGCUUGGCUGGGAAGAGCUAUUUCCGUGCUCUGGACAUUUCUCCCUGCUUCCUUGAGGCAGAAAAGGAGGCAGAGCUGCUGGGGAGUAGCUGUCCCAUGGUAGCUGUCCAUGACCCCACUGGCUUCUUGCUGUGACCUUAAGAAGAGUCACAAAUGGCAGAUCUCUUCCUUCCUUAUUCGCCACCUGUCCUUUGUUUCUGCUCCUUCCCAUCCUUCAGUCUCAUCUGUUCUCCCAGAGCAUUCUUCCCAUGCCUAAGCCCCUUCAUCCUAGGGCUCCUCUGGCAGAAUGGGAGGAAAGAGUGUGGAGGGCAGAUGGAUGGAGCUUGGUGUCUGUUCUGGGACAGGCAUCACCAUCUAUUACUUGGCUAUCUAGAAGCUCCAUCCAAGAUUGUGGACUUGACAAGAGAAACCUGAUCCUGACAGUUAACCUGAUCCUGACUGCCUAGAUACUAAUACAAUGAGAGAAAAAAACUAAAAACUGUGGCAGCUGUUUAAAAGUAACAUGUGACACACUAAUGAUCAUGAAUGCCACUGAGCCUGUGAGCUUAACUUUGAUUGUACAAACUCAACCCAGUGUAAAAUGUAUCACUAAAAACUAAACAAGCUGACUCUUCAUGUUGACAAAAACGUCAGCCAUACUAUUUUAUAGUCACAUCACGUACGCCAGCUUUUAUCCAUGCUGCAUCCGCCGCCCGAUCACAACUUGAAAAUGGAGUCUGAAUUCUUAUCCAUGCUGCAUCCGCCGCCCGAUCACAACUUGAAAAUGGAGUCUGAAUUCUUAUCCAUGCUGCAUCCGCCGCCCGAUCACAACUUGAAAAUGGAGUCUGAAUUCUUAUCCAUGCUGCAUCCGCCGCCCGAUCACAACUUGAAAAUGGAGUCUGAAUUCUUAUCCAUGCUGCAUCCGCCGCCCGAUCACAACUUGAAAAUGGAGUCUGAAUUCUUAUCCAUGCUGCAUCCGCCGCAUCACAACUUGAAAAUGGAGUCUGAAUUCUUAUCCAUGCUGCAUCCGCCGCCUCAUCACAACUUGAAAAUGGAGUCUGAAUUCUUAUCCAUGCUGCAUCCGCCGCCUGAUCACAACUUGAAAAUGGAGUCUGAAUUCUUAUCCAUGCUGCAUCCGCCGCCUGAUCACAACUUGAAAAUGGAGUCUGAAUUCUUAUUCAUGCUGCAUCCGCCGCCCGAUCACAACUUGAAAAUGGAGUCUGAAUUCUGGAACUGGAAAGAACCCCCACAUAGCAUCUUGUUCAACCCCCUCAUUUGAAAGCUGAAGUAACUCAGAGAUGGUAAUUGACUUAUCUAAGAUCACACAAAGCAUUAGGGACUUGACCACGGGGCAUCAAGGACGGGAGCCAGGCCUGCCUUAUUUCCAGGGCUCUUUGACCUUCACCGCAGAGAUUUUUUUUUUUUUCAACUAAUUGUAUAGAGAGAGCCAGUUACCUUGAACAGUGAAAGUCUAGGGCCUGCAAACAGCUGAAAGAGGAUGGAGCCCCAUCUAUGGUAGUGGGUUAAGCCGCCCCGGGAAUUCUCCUUAGCUCCUGAGAGGAUAAGAGCCCCUAACAUAACCUAUGCAAAUAUGGACUUGGUUUCCAAAGAAAAAUGUUCAUGUGUUCUUUCAGCAUGCGUACUCUACAGUCAUUGGAAAGAUCAACAAAGAAGUUUUUGGAAAGAGGGACAUUUUAGGAAGGAAGUGAGAAUUCUGCAAGAGGAAGAUCUCAUGGAAAGCAACUCGAAUAAUG
Long non-coding RNA from Homo sapiens (human), 4651 nucleotides. RefSeq annotates it as FBN1 antisense RNA 2. The record is from RefSeq and is a predicted model, not a curated record. The transcript has 3 exons. NCBI's taxonomy places the organism in Eukaryota, Metazoa, Chordata, Mammalia, Primates, Hominidae.